GACGAACGCUGGCGGCGUGCUUAACACAUGCAAGUCGAACGAAAAGAGGGAAAGAGCUUGCUCUUUCCGGAAUUGAGUGGCAAACGGGUGAGUAACACGUAAACAACCUGCCUUCAGGAUGGGGACAACAGACGGAAACGACUGCUAAUACCGAAUAAGUUCCAAGAGCCGCAUGGCCCAUGGAAGAAAAGGUGGCCUCUACCUGUAAGCUAUCGCCUGAAGAGGGGUUUGCGUCUGAUUAGCUGGUUGGAGGGGUAACGGCCCACCAAGGCGACGAUCAGGAGCCGGUCUGAGAGGAUGAACGGCCACACUGGAACUGAGACACGGUCCAGACUCCUACGGGAGGCAGCAGGGGGGAAUCUUCCGCAAUGGGCGAAAGCCUGACGGAGCAACGCCGCGGGAGUGAUGACGGCCUUCGGGUUGUAAAACUCUGUGAUCCGGGACGAAAAGGCAGAGUGCGAAGAACAAACUGCAUUGACGGUACCGGAAAAGCAAGCCACGGCUAACUACGUG
RNAcentral lists this ribosomal RNA (513 nucleotides) under uncultured bacterium. RNAcentral's name for it is "partial 16S ribosomal RNA". It matches the Rfam family "Bacterial small subunit ribosomal RNA", at positions 28 to 507 of the family's 1533-position model. The record is from RNAcentral.